UUCAAAUCAAAUAAAAUCUCUUAUACAUGGCAGGUUUAAGGUCCCUCCUUGUUGCUCUCCUCGUUUUUGCUAUGAUUUUUUUUCCCAUGCUGCCAUGCGAGGCUGCUCGACUACCUCAUCCUGGUGAAUAUCCGUCACAACUAAUAUACAUACAUCUGUUAUAUAUAUAUAUAUAUAUAUAUAUAUAUUCAUAUUCAACUUGUUUUGGUGACAUAUAUAUAACUCUUUUUUUUUUUUUUUUAUAUUGUUGAUAGUUAAUUUUAUUAAUAUAUAUAAACUGUUUUGGCGACAUAUAAAAACUUCUUUUUUGAUAUUGUUGAUGGCUAAUUAUAUAUAUGUGUGUGUGUGUAUGCGUGUGUAUGUGCAGGUCUUCUUCAGAACGUAGGGCCAAAGCAACCAAUCUGCCCAGCUUGCCUGUGUUGUUCUCCUCCACCGCCAGGGUCCUGUUGCAAGUGUUGCGCUUCUAGAGGAGAAACCCAGUCCAUAAAUGCCUCUCCAUGAAAACCCCACCAACCACAUUAUAUUUAUAUUGGAAUAUGUAUGUACCAAUUAAAACAAUUGAUGCAUUAAUUGCUCAGCAUGAAUUCCUCUGUAAGCGUAACAGUGUCUCAUUUAAAUGUAAUAAUAUAGAAUUUAUGAAUUUUAAU
This 647-nucleotide long non-coding RNA is filed under the name Carica papaya (papaya). RNAcentral's name for it is "long non-coding RNA (CPAP_LNC016575)". The record is from RNAcentral. Lineage: Eukaryota; Viridiplantae; Streptophyta; Magnoliopsida; Brassicales; Caricaceae.